This 1050-nucleotide ribosomal RNA is filed under the name Escherichia coli. RNAcentral describes it as "partial 23S ribosomal RNA". It matches the Rfam family "Bacterial large subunit ribosomal RNA", at positions 165 to 1253 of the family's 2925-position model. Lineage: Bacteria; Pseudomonadati; Pseudomonadota; Gammaproteobacteria; Enterobacterales; Enterobacteriaceae. The record is from RNAcentral.
CAUAGGUUAAUGAGGCGAACCGGGGGAACUGAAACAUCUAAGUACCCCGAGGAAAAGAAAUCAACCGAGAUUCCCCCAGUAGCGGCGAGCGAACGGGGAGCAGCCCAGAGCCUGAAUCAGUGUGUGUGUUAGUGGAAGCGUCUGGAAAGGCGCGCGAUACAGGGUGACAGCCCCGUACACAAAAAUGCACAUGCUGUGAGCUCGAUGAGUAGGGCGGGACACGUGGUAUCCUGUCUGAAUAUGGGGGGACCAUCCUCCAAGGCUAAAUACUCCUGACUGACCGAUAGUGAACCAGUACCGUGAGGGAAAGGCGAAAAGAACCCCGGCGAGGGGAGUGAAAAAGAACCUGAAACCGUGUACGUACAAGCAGUGGGAGCACGCUUAGGCGUGUGACUGCGUACCUUUUGUAUAAUGGGUCAGCGACUUAUAUUCUGUAGCAAGGUUAACCGAAUAGGGGAGCCGAAGGGAAACCGAGUCUUAACUGGGCGUUAAGUUGCAGGGUAUAGACCCGAAACCCGGUGAUCUAGCCAUGGGCAGGUUGAAGGUUGGGUAACACUAACUGGAGGACCGAACCGACUAAUGUUGAAAAAUUAGCGGAUGACUUGUGGCUGGGGGUGAAAGGCCAAUCAAACCGGGAGAUAGCUGGUUCUCCCCGAAAGCUAUUUAGGUAGCGCCUCGUGAAUUCAUCUCCGGGGGUAGAGCACUGUUUCGGCAAGGGGGUCAUCCCGACUUACCAACCCGAUGCAAACUGCGAAUACCGGAGAAUGUUAUCACGGGAGACACACGGCGGGUGCUAACGUCCGUCGUGAAGAGGGAAACAACCCAGACCGCCAGCUAAGGUCCCAAAGUCAUGGUUAAGUGGGAAACGAUGUGGGAAGGCCCAGACAGCCAGGAUGUUGGCUUAGAAGCAGCCAUCAUUUAAAGAAAGCGUAAUAGCUCACUGGUCGAGUCGGCCUGCGCGGAAGAUGUAACGGGGCUAAACCAUGCACCGAAGCUGCGGCAGCGACGCUGAUGCGUUGUUGGGUAGGGGAGCGUUCUGUAAGCCUGCGA